GGCAAAGGUAGAGGGUACUUCUGUGGAAGAUGGCGAAUUCUUCAUGGUGAAUUCGGCCACCAUCACCGAAAUCCCGGUUCAGGAGCCUGAUUCAGAGAUGACUGCCAAUCCUGGAGUGGUUACACUUGAUGAUGAAGCAGCUGAUUCUGGCAAGGAGGAGAUGGUGAUGAUUGCAGGGGCCGAGUCAGAGUCGAACGCUGUAGAUGCGUUGUUGGAGACGCUUGAUUCCAUGGGUUUCAAGCAGCGAGAUUUUAAUCAGAUG
Molecule: long non-coding RNA, 262 nt
Filed under: Physcomitrium patens
Lineage: Eukaryota; Viridiplantae; Streptophyta; Bryopsida; Funariales; Funariaceae
Description: long non-coding RNA (PPAT_LNC007125)
Source: RNAcentral